CCUACGGGAGGCAGCAGUGAGGAAUAUUGGUCAAUGGGCUUACGCCUGAACCAGCCAAGUCGCGUGAGGGAAGACUGCCCUAUGGGUUGUAAACCUCUUUUGUCAGGGAGCAACGCCGGCUACGUGUAGCCGGACUGAGAGUACCUGAAGAAAAAGCAUCGGCUAACUCCGUGCCAGCAGCCGCGGUAAUACGGAGGAUGCGAGCGUUAUCCGGAUUUAUUGGGGUUAAAGGGUGCGUAGGCGGAAUGCCAAGUCAGCGGUAAAGUCGCGGGGCUCAACCUCGCUCCGCCGUUGAAACUGGCGUUCUUGAGUGGGCGAGAGGUAUGCGGAAUGCGUGGUGUAGCGGUGAAAUGCAUAGAUAUCACGCAGAACUCCGAUUGCGAAGGCAGCAUACCGGCGCCCAACUGACGCUGAGGCACGAAAGCGUGGGGAUCGAACAGGAUUAGAUACCCUGGUAGUC
This 460-nucleotide ribosomal RNA is filed under the name uncultured bacterium. RNAcentral's name for it is "partial 16S ribosomal RNA". It matches the Rfam family "Bacterial small subunit ribosomal RNA", at positions 338 to 795 of the family's 1533-position model. The record is from RNAcentral.